Molecule: small nucleolar RNA, 135 nt
Organism: Prolemur simus (greater bamboo lemur)
Lineage: Eukaryota; Metazoa; Chordata; Mammalia; Primates; Lemuridae
Gene: SNORA70
Rfam family: Small nucleolar RNA SNORA70
About the family: snoRNA U70 seems to be exclusive to mammals and is a member of the H/ACA class of snoRNA which contain H (ANANNA) and ACA box motifs.
Source: Ensembl
CUGCUGCCAAUUAAGCUGACCAUGCUCCUUUCCUCAUGGGGGCCCAGUGUGCAAUGACUGUAAACAGCAGCCUCCUUGGUAGUGUACACAGCCUGUUGCUUGUAUGGGUUGCUCUGAGUGACCUUGCACACAACC